CCUACGGGUGGCUGCAGUGAGGAAUAUUGCACAAUGGGCGCAAGCCUGAUGCAGCGACGCCGCGUGGGCGAAGAAGGUUUUCGGAUCGUAAAGCCCUUUUCUCAGGGACGAGGAAGGACGGUACCUGAGGAAUAAGUGUCGGCUAACUACGUGCCAGCAGCCGCGGUAAAACGUAGGACGCAAGCGUUAUCCGGAAUUACUGGGCGUAAAGCGCGUGUAGGUGGGUGUCUAAGUCACUUGUGAAAGCUCCUGGCUAAACUGGGAGAGGUCAGGUG
Molecule: ribosomal RNA, 275 nt
Filed under: uncultured bacterium
Lineage: Bacteria
Description: partial 16S ribosomal RNA
Rfam family: Bacterial small subunit ribosomal RNA
Source: RNAcentral